UAUUUAUGACUAUUCCCUCUGCAAUAAGAGAGGGAGGAGAAAUAGAAAAAGAGAACACUGAAUUGACUUAGAUUAGAAUAAAGACUUUUCCUCACGGAGACUCAAAAGUUCUGCACAUAACUUCCUGAUCAGAAAUGUAAGCAAAUAAGAAAUCAGAUCUUCUCUGAAGGAGGAAGAUCUAUGUUGGAUCCAGGCACUAAAUUCACAGACCUGAUUGGCAAACUCAGGAAUGGAGCAGGAAAUUGCAAACAAAAAAACCCUGAAAAUACAAGAUAUGAGGCACGAACUUCUGAAUUUCAACUCUGUAAGGCAUCUGUAGAAACCUCCAAUUUACAAAUAAGGACUUCUCAGUGGUAUGGGACUGCUGUAUCACGCAAAAAAGGGAGGAAAUCAUCUGUAAACUGGUACACUGUGAUGUGUUAAGUGAGUUACAAAAUGGCUGCUUGCCUUGGUAUGCCAAAGAAAGGUGGUUGUGUUUUUUUCUGUUUUCGUUUUUGAGUAAGACAUGACCAAGUCACCUUAAAACUUGCCACAGGCCUCAGUCACCUAGAGCUUCAGCAAAGGAGUCCAGUGGCACACGCUGAGAACGCUUGUAAUCACAAUAUAAUAUAAAGCAUGCUUAUACAAUUUUAACUGUUCCUCCCCAGAUUAACUUCCACUAGUAAUCAUUGUUGGCUCCCCUCACUGCAAUAAGCAGGGUUAUUACCACUUUGAUGCUUUCAUUCUUCCUGUCCCUUCCUUCACUUCCCACAUCCUCAUACCCUUUUCUGCCCUCUCCACCUGUCCAACUCCUACCAUUUCUAGAAUCAACUAAAAAACUUUAUAAAAUAGAACAGACAGAACUAACUCAAGGUGAUCUAGUUACCUUCCUCAUUGUCAACAUCAGGGCAACAGUUAUUGUGCUUCCCCACAAGAUAGGAGUCUCUUCCUUCUGGUUUUGAUUUGAUAAAAUGGACAUAAUUUGUUUUACACUAAUAUAGUCCAACCUUUCUCACCCCAGUGAUGAACAUGUACUCUCUUUGGACCUACAGUAUCAUUUUGAAAUGAUGAAAAAGGAAGGAAGGUAGAGAGGGAGGAAGGGAGGUAGGGAU
Choloepus didactylus (southern two-toed sloth) is the source of this 1091-nucleotide long non-coding RNA. RefSeq lists it as uncharacterized. The record is from RefSeq and is a predicted model, not a curated record. The transcript has 3 exons. NCBI's taxonomy places the organism in Eukaryota, Metazoa, Chordata, Mammalia, Pilosa, Megalonychidae.